This is a long non-coding RNA of Pollicipes pollicipes, 531 nucleotides long. RefSeq lists it as uncharacterized. The transcript has 3 exons. The record is from RefSeq and is a predicted model, not a curated record. Lineage: Eukaryota; Metazoa; Arthropoda; Thecostraca; Pollicipedomorpha; Pollicipedidae.
GCGCUGGCGCCGCCGCAGCCGGCCGCCGUGCCGGCGGACCCGGCCGCCGCGCCGCCACGGCCCGGCCUGCCCGGCGCUGGGUUCGUGUCUGACCUCCACCGGAUCUGCGAGACCCGUGACAUGCCGUAUGUCUGCCUGCUGCGUCACACGUACGAGGGGAACAACAUCCCCGAGGCUGUGUCACUCUGCGACUGUCUCGACUCGUGGAUCGGUCCGUUCAACGAGGUCGCCCACCCUCGUCCGGCUCGGCCUGGACCCGCUUCGGUGCUCGGCCGCUGGAAGAUGCCUCCCACCUGGUCGCAUCUCUUCGGUGCAGCGUUGGAUUCGAGGCUCUACUGACACGUGGUGGCAGCAGACACGUCGACGCAAGAAGGCCUGGACGAGGAGUACGUCGCCAUCAGCACGGCCGAUUUCUCUGAUAACCUCGCGACCUUUCUGCGUGUAAGCUGAUUGUUUCCGCCUGGUUAUCGUCGGGCACAAGGCGACCAGAACAGGAACGGUGAUAAUAAAUGAUGUCGAAAGGAAGUUUAA